This 500-nucleotide ribosomal RNA is filed under the name uncultured bacterium. Its description in RNAcentral is "partial 16S ribosomal RNA". It matches the Rfam family "Bacterial small subunit ribosomal RNA", at positions 30 to 523 of the family's 1533-position model. The record is from RNAcentral.
AUUGAACGCUGGCGGAAUGCUUUACACAUGCAAGUCGAACGGCAGCACGGACUUCGGUCUGGCGGCGAGUGGCGAACGGGUGAGUAAUGUAUCGGAACGUGCCCAGUCGUGGGGGAUAACGUAGUGAAAAUUACGCUAAUAACGCAUACGAUCUAUGGAUGAAAGCGGGGGAUCGCAAGACCUCGCGCGAUUGGAGCGGCCGAUAUCAGAUUAGGUAGUUGGUGGGGGAAAGGCCCACCAAGCCAACGAUCUGUAGCUGGUCUGAGAGGACGACCAGCCACACUGGAACUGAGACACGGUCCAGACUCCUACGGGAGGCAGCAGUGGGGAAUUUUGGACAAUGGGCGAAAGCCUGAUCCAGCCAUUCCGCGUGCAGGAUGAAGGCCCUCGGGUUGUAAACUGCUUUUGUACAGAACGAAAAGGUUUCUACUAAUACUAGGAGCUCAUGACGGUACUGUAAGAAUAAGCACCGGCUAACUACGUGCCAGCCGCCGCGGUAA